GUGCUCACUUCAGCAGCACACACACAUAUACUAAAACUGGAAUGAUACAGAGAAGAUUAGCAUGGUCCCUGCUCAAGGAUGACACACAAAUUCUUUUUUUUUUUUUUUU
This is a small nuclear RNA of Jaculus jaculus (lesser Egyptian jerboa), 109 nucleotides long. NCBI's taxonomy places the organism in Eukaryota, Metazoa, Chordata, Mammalia, Rodentia, Dipodidae. The record is from RefSeq and is a predicted model, not a curated record.